AAUCAACGCUGGCGGCGUGCCUAACACAUGCAAGUCGAACGCGAAGGUCCCGCAAGGGAUUGGUAGCGUGGCAAACGGGUGAGCAACACGUGGGUGACCUGCCUUCGAGUGGGGGAUAACGUCCCGAAAGGGACGCUAAUACCGCAUGACAUCCUGCCUUUGAAGAGGCGGAGAUCAAAGCCGGGGAUCGCAAGACCUGGCGCUUGAAGAGGGGCCCGCGCCUGAUUAGCUAGUUGGUGGGGUAAUGGCUCACCAAGGCAACGAUCAGUAUCCGGCCUGAGAGGGCGGACGGACACACUGGGACUGAGACACGGCCCAGACUCCUACGGGAGGCAGCAGUGGGGAAUUGUUCGCAAUGGGCGCAAGCCUGACGACGCAACGCCGCGUGGAGGACGAAGACCUU
This 403-nucleotide ribosomal RNA is filed under the name uncultured bacterium. Its description in RNAcentral is "bacterial SSU rRNA". It matches the Rfam family "Bacterial small subunit ribosomal RNA", at positions 29 to 418 of the family's 1533-position model. The record is from RNAcentral.